ACAACUAUGGCGGCUGCCGGUGGUAAUUUGAAAGUGCGAAGAGUAUUGAGGAGCGUAAAGAACAGACCCGGAUCGUCAGGGCCGAGGUGCUGCGUCAGGCUAAAGCCAAUUUUGAAAAAGAAGAAAGACGUAAAGAACUUAAGCGACUUCGGGGUGAGGAUACAUGGAUGCUACCUGAUGUGAAUGAGCGAAUUGAACAAUUCUCACAGGAACACUCUGUGAAGAAAAAGAAGAAAAAAGACAAACACUCAAAAAAAGUAAAGAAAGAGAAGAAAAAAAAGAGCAAGAAACAGAAAUGUGAAAAAUACAAUGAGUCAUCUGACAGUUCAUCAAGCUCUGAAGAUGAGUGGGUUGAAGCUGUUCCACCUCAGACUCUUGGCAAGGAAAAGGCCUGGAGAGUGAAAGGUGAAAAGUCAGAACAAAAAGAUGACGACCAAGUUAUUCAGAGGGACGAAUGGAUGACUGUUGAUUUUAUGUCUGUUAAAACUGUGUCAUCAUCAUCACUCAAAGCUGAGAAGGAAACAAUGAAGAAAAUAGAGCAAGAGAAAACUCAAGCACUUGAGCAGUCCAAACUCCUGGAAAGAGAAUUGAAUCCAUAUUGGAAGGAUGGUGGGACAGGUCUUCCCCCAGAAGACUGUAGUGUAUCAUCGAUUACUAAAGUUUCAGUGGUAGAAGAUGGUGGAUUGAGCUGGCUAAGGAAGUCUUACCAAAGAAUGAAGGAACAAGCUGAGAAACAAAACAGAAAUUUUGAGGAUGUUGUAGCUGAAAGAUACGGGUCAAUGGAAAUAUUUCAGUCGAAAUUAGAAGCAGCUGAAAAAACUGUAUCUACAAAAGAAGAUUAUAGACGAGAACAGUGGAAGAAACCAGCAUUUUCAGAUAAAGCACAAAAUAGUCAAGAAAGUAGAAAAUCAGACUUAGUAAAACAUAACAGUUCAAGGGAUAGAUACACUACAAUGGAUAUUACAAACAACAGCAAUAAAGGGAAGUUUAGUGGUGAUGAAAAAGGUAAGAAAUCUGAAUCUUUAGAAACAUGUAGAAGAGAAUCCAACCCAUGGCAGAGUCAAGAGUUUUCUUCCCUUGGAAAUCUGAGACCUAAGUUUUUAAGACCCUCUGAUGAUGAUGAACUAUCAUAUCACAGCAAGGGCAGAAAUUUUGAACCAGCUAGUUCAUCUUCAGCAUUGGUAGCUCGGGGUUCUUCGCAUUGUGGUUUUCGAAAACCUACUGAGGUGAGUGAAGAACGUUUAACAUCGUGGAGUCAGUCUGAUGGAACAGGAGACAAGAAACAUUCAAAUGAAAAGCCACUGGAAACCAGCAGCAGUGUUGAAUACCGGCACAUUCCAGAAGAUGCGAGAGAAAAAUCACAAGGCAGAAGCUUGAGAGAUGAAUAUCUGCGGGAUGCAAAGUCUACAUCUGCGAGUCCAGAAGAUGGGUCUGUCCACAUCCUGAGUGUUGAUGAGAAGAACAAGUUGGGAGCCAAGAUUAUCAAGGCAGAGAUGAUGGGGAAUAUGGAAUUAGCUGAACAGCUUAAAUCUCAACUAGAAAAGGCAAAUAAAUUCAAAGAAACUAUAACACAGAUAUCAAGAAAAUCUGGAGAAGAGAAUGAAGACGAGCAAGAAGUGAUCCUUGUUAGAACAGAUCAGUCUGGAAGAGUAUGGCCUGUGAACACACCAGGAAAAUCUCCGGAACCAAAAGGAGGAAGAAGAAAGAGACAGAUGGUUUCAACCCAUGAGGAAAAAGAAAGGGUCAGAUACUUUCAUGAUGAUGAUAAUCUAAGCCUAAACGAUUUAGUCAGAAAUGAAAAGAUGGGAACAGCAGAAAAUCAAAACAACCUUUUUAUGAGAAUGGCAUCUAAGUUUAUGGGAAAAGCAGAUGGAGACUAUUAUACUCUGGAUGACAUGUUUGUCUCCAAAGCAGCCGAGAGAGAGUGUCGCAGCAAAGAAGAGAAACAGAGGAGGAAAGCUGUUGCUGAGCAUCGGAAUCUUGCUGCACAGAUGGAGAAAUGUCUGUAUUGUUUUGACAGCUCUCAGUUUCCCAAGCACCUUAUUAUUGCAAUAGGACUUAAGUUCUGGAGGCUAGAAAAUCCAAGAUCAAGGUGCCAGCAGAUUCAGUGUCGGGUUUACUUAUGUUUACCCAACUCCUGCUCUCUCACUGAGGGCCACUGCCUGAUAGCCCCUUUGCAGCACCACAGAGCAGCUACUUUAUUGGAUGAAGACAUCUGGGAGGAAGUUCAGAUGUUCAGGAAAUCAUUGGUAAAGAUGUUUGAAGAUAAAGGAUUGGACUGUAUCUUUUUAGAAACUAAUAUGCGUACCAAGAGACAGUCCCACAUGGCUUAUGAAUGUAUUCCUCUCCCAAAGGAGGUGGGAGAUAUGGCUCCUAUCUAUUUUAAGAAAGCCAUAAUGGAAUCUGAUGAAGAAUGGUCCAUGAAUAAGAAAUUGAUUGAUCUCUCUUCAAAAGACAUCAGGAAGUCUGUUCCCAAAGGUUAACCUUAUUUCUCUGUGGAUUUUGGCCUCCGAGGAGGGUUUGCCCAUGUCAUUGAAGAUCAGCACAAAUUUCCUCCAUACUUUGGAAAGGAAAUCAUUGGUGGGAUGUUGGAUAUAGAACCAAGACUUUGGAGGAAAGGAAUCCGAGAAAGCUUUGAGGAUCAGAGGAAGAAGGCGCUACAGUUUGCUCAGUGGUGGAAACCAUAUGACUUCACCAAAAGUAAAAAAUGUUGAGGCCUAACUUUCAUUUUUAAUUUUCUCUUCAGAUCCUGUUCAGUUUUAUUUCCAUUAUAUAUCACUGAACACUUGACCCUCGGAUCAUAGAAAGAGAUUGACAGCAGCAUACAGCUCUGGGUUCCUGACAACUCAUGCAGUUGUAGUGUUUUCUUCCCCACCUGCUCCUAAAGACUUCAUUCAUU
This is an RNA transcript of Nycticebus coucang (slow loris), 2899 nucleotides long. It is a transcript of the gene named CWF19-like protein 2, with no coding region annotated. The transcript has a single exon. NCBI's taxonomy places the organism in Eukaryota, Metazoa, Chordata, Mammalia, Primates, Lorisidae. The record is from RefSeq and is a predicted model, not a curated record.